Molecule: RNA transcript, 4672 nt
Organism: Hyla sarda
Lineage: Eukaryota; Metazoa; Chordata; Amphibia; Anura; Hylidae
Gene: LIPE
Gene name: lipase E, hormone sensitive type
Exons: 12
Source: RefSeq, a predicted model, not a curated record
GCCUAUAGCAACCAGACUUUCAUUUCCACAUGUGCAGGGAAAAUGAAAGCUGCCCUUUGAUUGGUUGCUGUCCUUGUUGCCUAUAGCAACCAAUCAGAGCUCAGCUUUCAUUUCGUAAACUGCUGUGCUAAAAUAAAAUCUGAGUCCCUGUUGGUUGUCAUGAGUUUGGAUCAUCUCCCCCAUUAUUUUGUGUGGUACAGCUCCGGGCACGUAAGGUAGAGCUGCUGUCCCUGCACACCUGUCCUCACGUGACCGCCCCGCCGCUAGGCUCAGUGCUGUGUCCUGGGGGAACGGGGCGGGGUCGUCCUGUCAGUCGGUCGAUGACGUCACUGCAAGAUGGCGCCAGCCGGGGAGGGGGAGGAAGGAGCGGAGAGAAACGGAUAUGCAAGUUUGGUGGUCGUGCCCCCCGAGCAGAUGGAUCCUCGGCCGCUGUUCCAGGCGGUGGAUGCCCUCUGCCAGGACAACAUCCUUCAUUUUGGGGAGUCCACCUCUGAAGUGUCCUCCCGGCUGGUGCAGGCGUUUUACCGUAUUCAAGAACAAGCCCAUGGACUGGAGCCUGCCCUGCGUGCCCUCGCUGCAGUAUGUCCCCUGUUUGACCUGGACCCCGACACCCCGGCUAAUGGCUACCGCAGUCUGAUAAAGGUGGUACUGUCCUGCACCCAACACAUCCUCCACAAGUGCCGCUAUGUCACGUCCAGCCGCCGCAGCCUCUUCUUCAGAGCCGCCCACAACUGCGCCGAGCUGGAGGCCUACGGAGCCGCUCUCACCCAGCUACGCGCUUUGCUCUGCUUCGCACAGCGCCUGCUCACCGCCAACCGUCACGGCGACCUGUUCUUCCGCCAGGAGCGAGGCUUGUCGGAGGAGUUUCUAAAAGAGUACAGCACUAUGCACAAAGGCUGCUUCUACGGACGGUGUCUUGGCUUCCAGUUCACCCCAUCCAUCCGCCCAUUCCUGCAGACUAUCUCCAUCGGACUCGUGUCUUUUGGGGAGAAUUACAAGCGACAUGGAUCUGGAUUAACUGAUGGAGCACUAUCCACCUAUUACGGUGUAGCUGCCAGCUCUUUCUUUAUAAGCGGGAGGUACGCCAUCGAUCCCGAGCUUCGAGGAGCAGAGUUUGAGAGGAUCACGCAGAACCUGGAUGUGAACUUUUGGAAAACGUUCUGGAACAUCACAGAGAUGGAAGUGCUCACGUCUAUAGUUGGCAUAGCUUCCACAACUGUGCGCAUCAACAAGACUCUUACGGUGCCCCCCAAGCAGUUGGAGAUGCCUCUGUGUUCUGACCCACAUCUCACUGUUACCAUCAAUCCACCUGUAGCUCAUACUGGACCGGGCCCAGUCCACAUGCGUCUCAUAUCAUAUCAGCUGCGGGAAGGACAGGAGAGUGAAGAACUUAAUGCUUUCGCCAAACCCGAGGGCCCGCUCAGCCUGGAUCUUCAUCUCCGAUCUCGUCCAGGCCCACUUUCUCCUGACCUGAUUAUUCAUUUCCAUGGAGGAGGUUUUGUAGCUCAGACCUCCAAGUCUCAUGAACCCUACCUGAGGACAUGGGCUCAGGAACUGGAAGCUCCCAUCUUGUCUGUGGAUUACUCACUGGCCCCUGAGGCUCCUUUCCCGAGGGCCCUAGAGGAAUGCUUCUAUGCUUACUGCUGGGCACUGAAAAACUGCCGGCUUCUGGGAUCCACAGGGGAGAGAAUCUGCCUGGCGGGUGACAGUGCCGGUGGUAAUCUUUGUAUCACAGUGUCCCUCCGUGCAGCCUCUGUCGGCAUUAGGUUACCAGAUGGUAUUAUGGUGGCAUACCCAGCCACAUUACUGCAGGCUACAGCUUCCCCCUCCCGCCUCCUUACCCUGAUGGACCCGUUGCUGCCCCUCAGCGUUCUGUCAAAGUGUCUAAGCGCCUAUGCAGGCACCGAGCGCGUUGCAGUAGAGGAUCGAGCCAUUGAAAAGCAGAGUGCGGUCAGCCAAGUAAAGCGAGGAACUGCAUUGUUCCUUAGAGACAUCCGCCUGGGCGCUGCCUCCUGGCUGAGUAAUCUAAUAGAAGGGAAUAAGGAGAAAAGUAGUGCUGAAACUGUAAGGAAAAGCGUAUCCGAGGCAGCACUGGCCGAUGAGGACACCAUAAACAGACAUCUGUCCCUGAAGAGCAGGACUACCCAGGAUCUCAGCCGACAUCAGUACAGUGAGCUCAGUGUAGGGCAGCUCACCCUGAGCCAACAAAAUGCACAGAGGGGAGCACAGACUAGAUCAGAAGGGGAUACUGGAAGGAACCAACCAUCUCCAUCUUCCUUAUCUGUCCAGUCCAGCCCAGGAGCUGGCGCACCGCAAUCUCCAACCAGUCAGCAGGAACAGGUCAGUUUCUUUCUGACAGAGAGCGAGAGCGAUCACUCCUACGACACAGACCACGCAACACACUCCAAGGAGAACAUUCCUCCGGUGCACUUAGCGGAGGACAGGUCCUCUCAGCUCUCCAACCCUCAUUUGCUGGGGUUUCCUGAAGGAUUCCAGCCUCUGCGCUCCCUGAAUGGCGUGGCUAAUAUGACCCUACAGACUUCUGCUAUUGUCCACAAUCCCUACAUGUCACCUCUGCUGGCACCCGACAGUAUGCUGCAAGGUCUUCCCCCCAUUCACAUUGUGGCGUGUGCCCUGGACCCAAUGUUGGACGACUCUGUGAUGUUUGCCAAGAGGCUGCGCUCCCUCAACCGGCCAGUAACGCUUAAAGUGGUAGAAGAUCUUCCCCACGGCUUCCUUACCCUCGCGCACCUUUCACAAGAGACGAGAAACGCCACCGGCGUAUGUAUAGAGCGCAUUCGGCAAAUCCUACGAGAGGAGCCUCCCGCGCCACCAGCCGGUGCUCCCAGGAAACACCGCAAGCUGGAGAGGACCCACGGGAAGACCCCUAUAACCGAGCGAGAGAUCGGUGCUUGAAACUUUAAUAAGAGUCUUUACAAAGUGCAACAACCAACCUACUUCACUCAACACUCCCAUUGUAAUAGCAAAUUACCAGCAGAGGCCAAUGCAACUCGCGGGCCUGGUGUACACUGGUUACAGCCUCCGAACUGUGAGACAGUUAUAAUGAGGGAAGCAAAGUACACCAUACUGUAUCCAUGAUCACAUACGUCCUCCCUGCCGAAAGGAAACCAUUUAAUCUAUAGGGUCAGUAUCUGUUUUUCUGCUGCAGGCAAUGGAUUUUAAAGAGAAUUUCAAGGGAUUGUAGAUAAACCUACCAUAUAAAUACCAUCCGGGGGGGGGGGGGGGUCAUAUAAUUUCAGGACGUCAGGUGAUUGACAGCCAGAUUAGUGGAUGGUCACUCCUGCGGGGGGCACUGUGGUUAUAGCUGUUUACCUCUGUACUGUUGUAUUGCACAAUGUCUAUAUAAGCUCAGAAUGACCGGGGGGUUCCCUCCAUAUGCGGACGGGCUCUACUAUUAUGUAUUCUUCUCUUGUCAUUGCUCCCGUUGUGUUCUAGACCCCGUAGCCUCCUGCUCUGACCUAAAAGGUGCAAAAGCAGUGCCGCCGCUCUACCAAAGAGACAGGGAGUAACAACCAGGUCCGGCCAGACAGCAUUUAAUACAGGACCAAAGUUCAAGAGGGUCUUCAACUUCUUUAUUGCAUCAUUUUAGGAACCACGGCUCAGCAGGUGAAUUAUGUUUGGUCUGUCUGGUCUAUUUGCUCUACGUGCCCAUAAUACAAGCAGCUGGUCAGGGGUUUUCUUAUCAUUGUCCUUCUAGCUCAGCUGUACCAAUAUUUAGCAGAGACUCCACAUCGGUACUGUGACUGGUUCUUGGAACACUAAGGGCUUUAAAAGGGGUACUCCGCCCCUAGACAUCUUAUCCCCUAUCCAAAGGAUAGGGGAUAAAAUGUAUGAUCACGGGGGUCUCACAGCUGGCACCCCCACAAUUUCUGUGCAGCACCCGGCGUUCGUUUAGAAGUGUCCCUGUCGUUUGACACAUCAGACAGAAAUGUCAUGUUUUGUUCGCUCGCGGUCUCAGUGUCCAGACCCCCACUCACCUAUAGAUAUGACUGGGAGAAGAGCGCAGCACUGCCCUUUACUCCCUGGCUGGCUACGAUCUUACAAUGGAGCCCGUCUUGUCAGUCAGGAAGUGAAGGGCACAGCUGUACUCUUCUCCCGGUGAUAUCUAGAGAUCUGUUGGGGUCUGAACACUAAGACCUCCAGUGAUCAAAACUUUCGACAGGUCUGUCUGAUGUGUCAAACGUUUUCCUAAAUAACAGUAAAGAUUUUAAGGUCAGGUUUUUAUAAUCCAUGAGCACUAUUAUGUAUAAUCUCUAAUAAACCCGCUGUAUCCUGUGUAUUCAUAAUGUAUAUAACCCAUGUAAUUUUGUAUAUAUACACCUUUAUACUCCUCUGUAUAUACUCACACACGAAUCAGAUUGACUUGUAUAUCCUGUAAACAUGCAUGUAUAUAUACAGGCUUAUGUAGCUGUGUAAAUAUCUAUACAUAUAUUUUUAAUGUACAUAUACAUUUCCUACUAGCUGCACAUUAAGUGGACGCAGCCAAACAUUCGAGUAGUCACAUUGUUGGAGCGUCCUGUAACCACUGAUCUCUGUUAUAUAUAUGUAUGUGUGUAUAUAAUGUAUACUCUUUGUCCCAGCACUGUCUCUUAUCCAAGGGUAAAAUGCUAUUUUUCUGUGGUUGGUUUUUACCUGUGAAUAAAAUAUCUUA